RNAcentral lists this long non-coding RNA (342 nucleotides) under Monodon monoceros (narwhal). RNAcentral's name for it is "lncRNA (ENSMMNG00015021969.1)". The record is from RNAcentral. Lineage: Eukaryota; Metazoa; Chordata; Mammalia; Artiodactyla; Monodontidae.
GGAGCCUGGAGCCAUCCGUCCUCAUGGACGCCACAUGGAUGUUGUCGCAUGUUGUCACAUCACGUCCCAUCUGCGAGUGAAGAUGCGGAUGGAGACCAGAUUCAGUGAUGUUGGAAAUUGCAUCCACCUGAGUGCCGGUCAGAGCCCGGGGAAGAGGGUCGGAUCUGGCGGUGGACCGGUUAUCUCCACCCUUGGGGUCACUGCGGAGCGCACGUGCAUGGUUUAGACGGGCUCCCGGGCUGGCGCUGCAGAGCAGGACUGUGUCUCCAGCUGACGUAGAUGGGAGCCCAACAUCAGGGGGUGGAGGAGAAAUCGUUUCUGCCACUUUCGGCUUUGCGGGAG